UUAAAAGAAGAUAGUAAGGGCACACGGUGGAUGCCUUGGCACAGAAAGCCGAUGAAGGACGUGACAAGCUGCGAUAAGCUACGGUGAGAAGCACAUAUUCUUAGACCCGUAGAUUUCCGAAUGGGUAAACCCAUCAGGACUCAUCUCCUGAUACUUGACGCUGAACACAUAGGCGUCAAAGAGGCAACCUGGGGAACUGAAACAUCUAAGUACCCAGAGGAAUAUAAAUCAACCGAGAUUCCCCAAGUAGUGGCGAGCGAACGGGGAUAUAGGUCAAACCGACGGUAGCACAAUACCAUGCAGGGGUUGCGCCGAGCGGGGUUGUAGGACUAUGAGUGGGAUGGCUGCUUACUUCCCAAACAGUUACAAAACACUGUGUUAGCUGAAUCGUUUUGGAAAAGCGAACGAAACAGGGUUAAAGUCCCGUAAGCGAAAAUGCAGUGUCUGUUUUCAUAGCACCUGAGUACUGCCGGACACGUGAAACCCGGUGGGAAGCAGGGGGGACCACCCUCCAAACCUAAAUACUUUUCUGUGACCGAUAGUGAACAAGUACCGUGAGGGAAAGGUGAAAAGCACCCCGGAAGGGGAGUGAAAUAGUACCUGAAACCGUGUGCCUACAAGCAGUCGGAGCAGUAGCAAUACUGUGACGGCGUGCCUUUUGUAGAAUGAGCCAGCGAGUUACGAUAUGUGGCGAGGUUAAGCUAAAAAGCGAGCCGCAGCGACAGCGAGUCUGAAUAGGGCGACACAGUCGCAUGUCGUAGACGCGAAGCCAGGUGAUCUAUCCAUGAGCAGGCUGAAACGGGGGUAAGACCCCGCGGAGGGCCGAACCCACUUAGGUUGAAAACUGAGGGGAUGACUUGUGGAUAGGAGUGAAAGGCUAAUCAAACCUGGAGAUAUCUCGUUCUCCCCGAAAUAGCUUUAGGGCUAGCGUCAGACGUUUACCUGCGGAGGUAGAGCACUGAAUGGUCGCGGGGGCCUCACCGCCUACCAACAUCAAUCAAACUCCGAAUGCCGUAUGGUCUAGAGUCUGGCAGUCAGAACAUGUGGGCUAAGCCGUGUGUUCGAAAGGGAAACAGCCCAGACCGUCCGCUAAGGUCCCCAAAUCUAUGCUAAGUGGCAAAGGAUGUGCGUUUGCUCAGACAACCAGGAUGUUGGCUUAGAAGCAGCCAUUCAUUUAAAGAGUGCGUAAUAGCUCACUGGUCGAGUGGACAUGCGCCGAUAAUAUACGGGGCUAAGCAUAGUACCGAAGCGACGGACUAAUCUAAUUAGUGGUAGGGGAGCUUUCUGUGUUGGGUUGAAGCCGUAAGGAUAACCUGCGGUGGACUACACAGAAGUGAGAAUGCUGGCAUGAGUAACGAGAGAGGUGUGAAAAACACCUCCGCCGUAAAUCCAAGGUUUCCUGGGCAAGGCUAAUCCUCCCAGGGUCAGUCGGGAGCUAAGGCGAGGCCGGAAGGCGUAGUCGAUGCACAGCAGGUAGACAUUCCUGCACCACCGAAAGUACGUUAUUUACCGAUGGGGUGACGGAGAAGGGUAGCUUGGCGGGGUUCUGGACGUCCCCGUGAAACCGCGUAGGCUUGAGUGUAGUUAAAUGCGCACUCAAUGAAGGCUGAGGCGGCCGACGAAGCGACUUAAGUGAAGUGAGUAAGCCCAUACUUCCAAGAAAAACCUCUAGGGAGCACUGAGGUGCCCGUACCGCAAACCGACACAGGUGGAUGGGUAGAACAUACCAAGGCGAUCGAGAGAACUAUGGUUAAGGAACUCGGCAAAAUUGCCCCGUAACUUCGGGAGAAGGGGUGCCGAGCCUGGUGAUAGGAUUUACUCCUUGAGCUGGGUUCGGUCUCAGUAAAGAGGUCCAAACGACUGUUUAUCAAAAACACAGGACUCUGCUGAAGUCGUAAGACGACGUAUAGGGUCUGACGCCUGCCCGGUGCCGGAAGGUCACGAGGAGUUGUCAGGAGUAUUCCGAAGCAGCGAAUCUAAGCCCCGGUAAACGGCGGCCGUAACUAUAACGGUCCUAAGGUAGCGAAAUUCCUUGUCGGGUAAGUUCCGACCUGCACGAAAGGCGUAACGAUUUGGACACUGUCUCAACCAUAGACUCGGUGAAAUUGCACUAGUCGUGAAGAUGCGACUUACCCGCGGAAGGACGGAAAGACCCCGUGAACCUUUACUGCAGCUAGACAUUGGCUGCCGGUUCGUCGUGUAGAGGAUAGGUGGGAGACUAUGAAGUGGAAACGCCAGUUUUCAUGGAGUCACCCUUGGAAUACCACCCUCGACGUUUCGGCAUCCUAACUUGCGACCAUAAUCUGGCGUGAGGACCGUGUCUGGUGGGUAGUUUGACUGGGGCGGUCGCCUCCUAAAAUGUAACGGAGGCGCACGUAAGGUCUGCUCAGGAUGGUCGGCAACCAUCCUUUUGAGUGCAAGAGCAUAAGCAGGCUUGACUGUGAGACCUACAAGUCGAGCAGAUGGGAAACCAGGUUCUAGUGAUCCGGCGGCUCAGCGUGGAAUGGCCGUCGCUCAACGGAUAAAAGGUACUCCGGGGAUAACAGGCUGAUCUUCCCCAAGAGUCCACAUCGACGGGAAGGUUUGGCACCUCGAUGUCGGCUCAUCGCAUCCUGGGGCUGGAGCAGGUCCCAAGGGUAUGGCUGUUCGCCAUUUAAAGCGGUACGCGAGCUGGGUUCAGAACGUCGUGAGACAGUUCGGUCCCUAUCCUCCGUGGGCGUAGGAAAAUUGAGGGAGGCUGCCCCUAGUACGAGAGGACCGGGGUGGACGGACCUCCGGUGUAUGGGUUGUCAACCAAUGGCAUUGCCCAGUAGCCGCGUCCGGUGUGGAUAACCGCUGAAAGCAUCUAAGCGGGAAGCCCAUCCCAAGAUGAGUUUUCCUGAUUACUAAGACCCCUUGUAGACCACGAGGUGAUAGGCUGCAGAUGUAAGUGCUUGAUAGGCAUUGAGUCGAGCAGUACUAAUAGGUCGAGCUCUUCUUU
This 2980-nucleotide ribosomal RNA is filed under the name Atopobium minutum. Its description in RNAcentral is "bacterial LSU rRNA". It matches the Rfam family "Bacterial large subunit ribosomal RNA". The record is from RNAcentral. Lineage: Bacteria; Bacillati; Actinomycetota; Coriobacteriia; Coriobacteriales; Atopobiaceae.